UGAUGAGAAGCUUCGUCUGGAUUUAGCUCCGUGAUUUAUUUCAAUUACUGAUGAAAAAAGACUUCUCGAGCAGGAGCUUCACGUCAGACCUCCACCAACCACAUGUUUGUUCUCUAACAGAAACUCUGUGAACCACACAGUCUUUCUGGUGGAUCAAGUUCAGCAGAAGACGAUUCAAAAGCUGCAAAAACAUUUAGGUAAGUAUUUAUUAAGAGACAGAGGAGAAAAGUCUAACACUGAAUUAUAUCUGGUGAGCUGCUUUUAAAAUGAUUUUAGUUGCUGUUAUGGC
Nematolebias whitei (Rio pearlfish) is the source of this 289-nucleotide long non-coding RNA. RefSeq lists it as uncharacterized. Lineage: Eukaryota; Metazoa; Chordata; Actinopteri; Cyprinodontiformes; Rivulidae. The transcript is spliced from 3 exons. The record is from RefSeq and is a predicted model, not a curated record.